UGGGGAAUAUUGCACAAUGGGGGAAACCCUGAUGCAGCGACGCCGCGUGAGCGAUGAAGUAUUUCGGUAUGUAAAGCUCUAUCAGCAGGGAAGAAAGUGACGGUACCUGAGUAAGAAGCCCCGGCUAACUACGUGCCAGCAGCCGCGGUAAUACGUAGGUGGCAAGCGUUGUCCGGAAUUACUGGGUGUAAAGGGAGCGUAGGCGGGGAGACAAGUUGAAUGUUUAAACUAUCGGCUCAACUGAUAGUCGCGUUCAAAACUAUCACUCUUGAGUGCAGUAGAGGUAGGCGGAAUUCCUAGUGUAGCGGUGAAAUGCGUAGAUAUUAGGAGGAACACCAGUGGCGAAGGCGGCCUACUGGGCUGUAACUGACGCUGAGGCUCGAAAGCGUGGGUAGCAAACA
RNAcentral lists this ribosomal RNA (401 nucleotides) under uncultured bacterium. RNAcentral describes it as "bacterial SSU rRNA". It matches the Rfam family "Bacterial small subunit ribosomal RNA", at positions 355 to 774 of the family's 1533-position model. The record is from RNAcentral.